Molecule: ribosomal RNA, 301 nt
Filed under: uncultured bacterium
Lineage: Bacteria
Description: partial 16S ribosomal RNA
Rfam family: Bacterial small subunit ribosomal RNA
Source: RNAcentral
CAGCAGCCGCGGUAAUACGUAGGGUGCGAGCGUUAAUCGGAAUUACUGGGCGUAAAGCGAGCGCAGACGGUUACUUAAGCAGGAUGUGAAAUCCCCGGGCUCAACCUGGGAACUGCGUUCUGAACUGGGUGACUAGAGUGUGUCAGAGGGAGGUAGAAUUCCACGUGUAGCAGUGAAAUGCGUAGAGAUGUGGAGGAAUACCGAUGGCGAAGGCAGCCUCCUGGGAUAACACUGACGUUCAUGCUCGAAAGCGUGGGUAGCAAACAGGAUUAGAUACCCCCGUAGUCCCUGUCUCUUAUAC